This 423-nucleotide ribosomal RNA is filed under the name uncultured bacterium. RNAcentral's name for it is "bacterial SSU rRNA". It matches the Rfam family "Bacterial small subunit ribosomal RNA", at positions 355 to 775 of the family's 1533-position model. The record is from RNAcentral.
UGGGGAAUAUUGGUCAAUGGGCGAAAGCCUGAACCAGCAAUGCCGCGUGAGUGAUGAAGGCCUUCGGGUUGUAAAGCUCUGUCAGGGGGAACGAAAAAGCCAGCUAACACCUGGUGUUGACGGUACCCUCAAAGGAAGCACCGGCUAACUCUGUGCCAGCAGCCGCGGUAAUACAGAGGGUGCAAGCGUUGUUCGGAAUUACUGGGCGUAAAGCGAGUGUAGGCGGCCUAUUAAGUCAGAUGUGAAAUCCCUUGGCUCAACCGAGGAACUGCAUCUGAUACUGGUGGGCUUGAGUGUCGGAGGGGAUGGUAGAAUUCCUGGUGUAGAGGUGAAAUUCGUAGAUAUCAGGAGGAAUACCUGUGGCGAAGGCGACCAUCUGGAAGACAACUGACGCUGAGACUCGAAAGCGUGGGUAGCAAACAG